UUGCAAUAGAUCUACUAUAUUUGUUGUAUGGAAUGAUUGUAAGGUGUACAUGUCUAGCGAGCAGAUGUCAUCUGACCUUGACCUCAUUUUCAUGGUUGAGUGGUCAAAGUUAAGUUUUUUAGUUUUGGUCUUUUUAUCUAAUACUAUAUGCCAUAGGUCAACUAUAUUUGGUGUAUGGAAAUAUUUUAUGAUCUAUAUGUCAGCCGCGC
RNAcentral lists this long non-coding RNA (209 nucleotides) under Mytilus galloprovincialis (Mediterranean mussel). Lineage: Eukaryota; Metazoa; Mollusca; Bivalvia; Mytilida; Mytilidae. The record is from RNAcentral.